CUACUUUUUCUCAUAUAAUCCUACUUUUUUAAGACAGCUUGGAGGAUCAGUAUGUUAUAGCUCUCGUAAUUAGAUCUAUAUAGGGCUCGUAAUUUUUAUUCCCUAUUUGUGUCACAGAUGAUAAGAUCUCAGGAGGAGAAGAAGUACAUUUUCUGAGUAUAUAAUUUCAUAGCAUCUCUAGAAUCAUAAUCAAUAAAUUAAUGAAGACUCUGAAAGUGCCAUUUCCGACGAUCUAGAGAUUCCAAGUAUUCAACUCCCCCCCCCCUCCCCCCUCAGUUAAUCAAGCAUCAUAUAUACAGGGCCGUAGCAACCGGGGGGGGGGGGCUGCAGCUCCCCAAUAAUUUGUUAAUAAUAAUUUUUUUCAAAAUCAUGCAGACCUUUAUCAUUUAAUCCAUGACAUGCAAACUGCAAAGAAUGAAGAUAUUACCCAUACUUUCCUGCAACUUAUCGAACACAUAGUUAAUUAAAUACGCCUUCGCCCAUUUAGCACUGCUACAUUGUAAAUUUCGACACACUAAAACGCUGUUUUCUGACCAUUAGAAGUCUGUCAAAUCUUCCCCAAAGUCCAGGAAAUGGCAUUUCAGAGACUCUAAAUUUAAAAAUUUCCUCGGACCUUCGGCCCUCGCUUUCAGCCCCCCACCCCCAAUCGAAACGAGCUUCCUACGGCCCUGAUAUACGCUCCUGCCGUAGUGUGGAUUGGUGCAUUGUGUAGCCCAUGGGAUACAUGUAUUUGAAUUGUGUUGCUGCAGAGCAGAACUGGAGCAGAAUGAGCAAAUGCCUUAGCUUUUAUACCGAUGCAAUUUAAAAGUUUUGAGAAAAAAAUCCUGCAUAGAUGAAUGAGUACAUAAAAAUAUUGAGCACCAAAAAUUCACACAACUUCCCAUCAGAUAUCUAAUGGUCUACCCCUUACCACAUAUAUCCUAGGGGGCCAAUUUUGUAUAUUUUUGUGUUAUUUGCAUCUCCAAAACUCCUACUUUUGUCCUACUUUUCUACACAUUUUCCUACUUUA
Paramuricea clavata is the source of this 1009-nucleotide non-coding RNA. The record is from the annotation of a GenBank genome assembly. NCBI's taxonomy places the organism in Eukaryota, Metazoa, Cnidaria, Anthozoa, Malacalcyonacea, Plexauridae.